GGUAGGGGAGCGUUCUGUAAGCCUGUGAAGGUGGCCUGUGAGGGUUGCUGGAGGUAUCAGAAGUGCGAAUGCUGACAUAAGUAACGAUAAAGCGGGUGAAAAGCCCGCUCGCCGGAAGACCAAGGGUUCCUGUCCAACGUUAAUCGGGGCAGGGUGAGUCGACCCCUAAGGCGAGGCCGAAAGGCGUAGUCGAUGGGAAACGGGUUAAUAUUCCCGUACUUGGUGUUACUGCGAAGGGGGGACGGAGAAGGCUAUGUUGGCCGGGCGACGGUUGUCCCGGUUUAAGCGUGUAGGUGUGUGUUCCAGGUAAAUCCGGUUCACUUUAACACUGAGGCGUGACGACGAGGCACUACGGUGCUGAAGCAACAAAUGCCCUGCUUCCAGGAAAAGCCUCUAAGCAUCAGGUAACAUCAAAUCGUACCCCAAACCGACACAGGUGGUCAGGUAGAGAAUACCAAGGCGCUUGAGAGAACUCGGGUGAAGGAACUAGGCAAAAUGGUGCCGUAACUUCGGGAGAAGGCACGCUGACACGUAGGUGAAGUGAUUUACUCAUGGAGCUGAAGUCAGUCGAAGAUACCAGCUGGCUGCAACUGUUUAUUAAAAACACAGCACUGUGCAAACACGAAAGUGGACGUAUACGGUGUGACGCCUGCCCGGUGCCGGAAGGUUAAUUGAUGGGGUCAGCGCAAGCGAAGCUCCUGAUCGAAGCCCCGGUAAACGGCGGCCGUAACUAUAACGGUCCUAAGGUAGCGAAAUUCCUUGUCGGGUAAGUUCCGACCUGCACGAAUGGCGUAAUGAUGGCCAGGCUGUCUCCACCCGAGACUCAGUGAAAUUGAACUCGCUGUGAAGAUGCAGUGUACCCGCGGCAAGACGGAAAGACCCCGUGAACCUUUACUAUAGCUUGACACUGAACAUUGAGCCUUGAUGUGUAGGAUAGGUGGGAGGCUUUGAAGCGUGGACGCCAGUCUGCGUGGAGCCGACCUUGAAAUACCACCCUUUAAUGUUUGAUGUUCUAACGUGGACCCGUUA
This 1029-nucleotide ribosomal RNA is filed under the name Salmonella enterica. Its description in RNAcentral is "partial 23S ribosomal RNA". It matches the Rfam family "Bacterial large subunit ribosomal RNA", at positions 1227 to 2238 of the family's 2925-position model. The record is from RNAcentral. Lineage: Bacteria; Pseudomonadati; Pseudomonadota; Gammaproteobacteria; Enterobacterales; Enterobacteriaceae.